AGGACGAACGCUGGCGGCGUGCCUAACACAUGCAAGUCGAACGGGACCAGGGGCAACUCUGGUUCAGUGGCGGACGGGUGCGUAACACGUGAGGAACAUGACUUUCGGCGGGGGAUAGCCGGCCCAACGGCCGGGUAAUACCGCGUACGACCUCUCGGGGACAUCCCCGGUUGGUGAAAGCAGCAAUGCACCGAAAGAGUGCCUCGCGGCCUAUCAGCUAGUUGGUGAGGUAAUGGCUCACCAAGGCGACGACGGGU
Molecule: ribosomal RNA, 257 nt
Filed under: uncultured bacterium
Lineage: Bacteria
Description: partial small subunit ribosomal RNA
Rfam family: Bacterial small subunit ribosomal RNA
Source: RNAcentral